UUUGGCUAAUUUGAUCUUCAAUUCUCAGAUCAUGUACCAAUUCCUCAGGCAGGUGUUCUUUGUUCUUGAUUCUAAAUCGUGUGCUUUCAUUGAUCUUCUCUUCCACAGAACACUAUUCUGUUUCCUAAUAACAAUUUGUCCAAUUGUUAAUUAUGUGUUUCGUUGUACAAUGUCUCUCUUCUCUCAUUAGUCUGCAUACACCAUAUAAGACUCAAUGUUCUGCGGCGAAAUGCGACGUUCUUUAUUUUAGUGUGUCAUCAAAGGCGAUGAAAAUAUCAUUCUAGCCUUCUAGGCUUAACCCUGUGGACUCUCGAUGACUAGAAGUUUCAUGUGAGCAGCGCACACACCCAGUCAGCGUGAGCAGCAGCACUGGCCCACGCAGGUCCACGGCACGGAAAGGAGAUUCGAUUCACAAAUCUGUUACCCGGACAUUUUUAUUCAUCGCCACGAGAUCAUUACAGCGACAAGCCCACAUCUGACGUUUAUGAUCUUGUUCGCUUUGCCAAAGUGGAGGAGGGGGGCAGACAGCUUGGGGGAUCUACAGCAGGAGGGAAAUGGCACCACUCAGACUCCUGCAAGCUCGUCAGCCACUGCAGGGAUUCUGAAGACCUUUUUUCUCGUCCAGGCUCCGCUGGCUGGUGCCUUCCAGGUUUUCUUUGGAUGCAUGAGUACGAGCUUGUUAGCUCAAAUCUGUUGUGCAAUUGUCCUUUUUGUGUGCCUGGCUGGAUUCCCUCGCACUAACAUUUAAAAAGAGCCCAUGCACAGAACUGAACAGGGGAUAAAGAUUUUGUGCACGACAGACCUGACUCAACCGCAACCAGCUGGCGCUUCUGCUGGGCUCUACUCUUGCCUAGGAAUGCUUCUAGCACCUUCCGCAUGACCAUUGGCUCUAAAGAUGCCUCCUGUUUAUCUUCUCCUCCUUAACAAAUAGUCUCUGUAGCGGCUGCAGUAAAUCUCUUUCAGUCUGGAGGCAACAGCCCUUGGGUGUUUGUCCUUUUUCCUCCCUCCGCUUCUCCCCCCUCAGCCUGCGUGUGUCUUUGACAAUAAUUGUCUUUGACAAUUAUUUCAAAAUGUCCGUACUUUUGGCCUCUUGAUGACAAAGAAAAGAGCCCGUAAAGUGCAAGGAAACUUCUCUCUAUUUCCAUUCAGACCGCAGUACACAGGCAGGGCAGCAGGUCCCGGGGAAAGGGGCAUUUGCCUGCUCUGUUUCCCAGUUGAGGGGCAGAUAAUAAGCGGCAGGGGCUUCUGCCUACAGCCAUCAUGACACAGGACCCAACUCAUCCUUUUUUAAUGGCAAUAAAUAAAUGACGGAAGUUUUAGCCACUAGACUAGUGAAUUGGUGGUUAAGCCUCAGGCUUUUAUCUCCCUGACCCCUGUUUGAACUCAACCUUGGUUCCUAAGUGCAGGGCAGACAAAGUGGGGUGGGAGGAGGGUUUCUUAUCGACAUGAACACCCCUUCCAGCUCAACAUAAAGAAAUAUGAUGCCAUGUGUGUGCCUGUGGCUCAGAGCAAAAGAGGGUAGGGAAGGAUUUGUUGGGACAAAGUGAGAAGAGACUUAAAUACCAGCUACUAUUUCUGGAUGUCUAUCCCAUAGCUUAAGAGUUUAAUAGAGAACAUAUUAAUGAAUUCCACUAGCAUUUAUAGAGGGAGGGGAUUAUCAGUUGUGUGCGAGGCCCUGUGCACACUGCUGGAGGUAGAAGUUUAAAAAGACAAACUGAGGAAGUUGGAAAUGGGGAAGCCCAAAGCUGACACCAGCCCAGGUGAAUAUGUAUUGAACCAUGAAUAUGUCAAUCACUGUGUUAAAACACUUUAUGUGCAUUAUUUCACUUUCUUCUGUUUAUCUUCUCCUCCUUAACAAGUUGUUGGAAUCCUCACAACAACUUUAUGAAUCAGGUACUCUUGUUUUCUAAUUUUACAGAUGAGGCAGUUGUGAUUUAGAGAAGUUAUGUAAUUUAUCCAAGGUUACAUGCGUGGGAAAUGAAGCCAGGAUAAAAAUCCUCAUCUAACUCUGUAUUAUAUCACUUUCAUGAAAAAAAAAGUGCUUACUGCAUGAGGUUCUCUAGUUUGAUAGAUGAUGACUCCAUUUUCCAGUCAAGAUUCCAUAUGCAUAUUCUGGCAAUUCCGAAUGUAUUCAUGAAAACUGUGGGUCUGACUGUUUGAGAUUAAGAUACUAUCUUUAUGCAGUCCAUUUUCUUAUCUGAAAAAUGAGCAUGAUGAUAAUGAUCUUCAGUGUCUCUUGGUCUGAUAGUUUUCAAAAUGGUUUAGAGAAUAAAUGCCUGUAUGGAAACUAGGUUUGGAUGCCUUCUUGGCGAUAACUGUUCACCGUGCCUUCCAGCAAGAUUCCCAAGUACUUUGCCUAAGCCAGGCUUCCAACAUUGUGAGUAACAUGUUGAGUUCUAGAAUAGUUCUAUCCUAAUUAGGUACACAGUACUACUCUAAAUAGGAAUAAGGCAAAGGGUGAAUGUUGUUUCAUAGUGGUUGCUAAGGUGGAUGAUCAAGAAACAUUCAUCAUGUGGGAUAGUGUACGUAUUUGAUGCCACAGAUAUGCUUUCUGGUUUAAUAGUUAAGAGCAAGUAGGCAUCUUAGGCAUUUAUAUGUUUGUUUUGUUUUAUGCCAAGGGAAGGCUUGGAUAACUUGGAUGUCAGAAGAUCUCCUCUCAUGUUCCCAGCUACUGUCCUAGAAACCAAUCUACCCGUUCCAUUAAGACAGACCUCUGGGCCGGCUGCGGUGGCUCACACCUGUAAUCCCAGCACUUCGGGAGGCCAAGGCGGGCAGAUCACCUGAGGUCGGGAGUUUGAGACCAGCCUGACCAACAUGGAGAAACCCCAUGUCUACUAAAAAUACAAAAAUUAGCCGGGCAUGGUGGCAGAUGCCUGUAAUCCCAGCUACUCGGGAGACUGGGGCAAGAGAAUCUCUUGAACCCGGGAGGCAGAGGUUGCAGUGAGCUGAGAUCACACCACUGCACUCCAGCCUGGGCAACAAGAGUGAAACUCCAUCUCAAAAAUAAAAUAAAAUGAAAAAAAAAAACCCUCUGGUUCUUCUGGAUCUAGACUGUGGUUGUAUGGUUGUCUGAGUAAGACCAAUGUAGGUAUGAUUCGCCUAAACAACCUACCACAAGUUAAAAAAGAGCAGCCUUUAGGCACAAAGACCCAAGUCUUAGGGAGUCUUUGAAAGGAGAAACCAAAAAAUACCUGGGUAUGUUACUUAGGAAUUAUAACAUGCCCAGGUAUUUCAUUGCCCAGUGGAAAAGCCUAGCCAUCUUGUGUCCCAGCUUCAGUUUACUCCCAUUCCCUUUAUCCCAACAAGAUUACCCCUAACCAUGCCUCCCAUUUUAGCUUCCCAGGUUGCUGCUUUCUCUCUCUCUUUCCUUAAGGUUCACAUCUGACUCUCCUCUAAAGUAUGGAUUAAGACCCACAUUAUCCCUUUGCCUGACUGAUUCUGUCGACUAUGAGACACGAUGCUAUGACAGGAAGUACUCCGGCUUGAAGUUAACUGCACUACGGGUUGAAUCCUGAAAUCCUGACUCAGUAGCAUUUUGUCUUUGCCUCCUUUGCCGAGUUUUCUAGCUUCAUAAAAAUGUCAAUUCCCCCAUCUCCCAAAGGCAGGGAAAAACUGAAAUUACAUAGAUAAUAUCAGAUGACAUAUCUAGA
RNAcentral lists this long non-coding RNA (3650 nucleotides) under Homo sapiens (human). Its description in RNAcentral is "HSALNT0225122". Lineage: Eukaryota; Metazoa; Chordata; Mammalia; Primates; Hominidae. The record is from RNAcentral.